CCCCCAGACUCCUACGGGAGGCAGCAGUGGGGAAUAUUGGACAAUGGAGGGAACCCUGAUCCAGCGACGCCGCGUGAGUGAAGAAGUAUUUCGGUAUGUAAAGCCCUAUCGGCAGGGAAGAAGCAAGACGGUACCUGACUAAGAAGCCCCGGCUAACUACGUGCCAGCCGCCGCGGUAAUACGUAGGGGGCGAGCGUUAUCCGGAUUCACUGGGUGUAAAGGGAGCGUAGACGGCCAAGCAAGCCAGGGGUGAAAGCCCGGGGCCCAACCCCGGGACUGCCCUUGGAACUGCAUGGCUGGAGUGCGGGAGGGGCAGGCGGAAUUCCUGGUGUAGCAGUGAAAUGCGUAGAUAUCAGGAGGAACACCGGCGGCGAAGGCGGCCUGCUGGACCGCGACUGACGUUGAGGCUCGAAAGCGUGGGGAGCAAACAGGAUUAGAUACCCGGGUA
RNAcentral lists this ribosomal RNA (448 nucleotides) under uncultured bacterium. RNAcentral's name for it is "bacterial SSU rRNA". It matches the Rfam family "Bacterial small subunit ribosomal RNA", at positions 328 to 792 of the family's 1533-position model. The record is from RNAcentral.